Molecule: ribosomal RNA, 497 nt
Filed under: uncultured bacterium
Lineage: Bacteria
Description: partial 16S ribosomal RNA
Rfam family: Bacterial small subunit ribosomal RNA
Source: RNAcentral
GAUGAACGCUGGCGGCGUGCCUAAUACAUGCAAGUCGAGCGAACAGACGAGGAUCUUGCUCCUCUGACGUUAGCGGCGGACGGGUGAGUAACACGUGGAUAACCUACCUAUAAGACUGGGAUAACUUCGGGAAACCGGAGCUAAUACCGGAUAAUAUAUUGAACCGCAUGGUUCAAUAGUGAAAGACGGUUUUGCUGUCACUUAUAGAUGGAUCCACGCCGCAUUAGCUAGUUGGUAAGGUAACGGCUUACCAAGGCAACGAUGCGUAGCCGACCUGAGAGGGUGAUCGGGCACACUGGAACUGAGAAACGGUCCAGACUCCUACGGGAGGCAGCAGUAGGGAAUCUUCCGCAAUGGGCGAAAGCUUGACGGAGCAACGCCGCGUGAGUGAUGAAGGUCUUCGGAUCGUAAAACUCUGUUAUUAGGGAAGAACAAAUGUGUAAGUAACUAUGCACGUCUUGACGGUACCUAAUCAGAAAGCCACGGCUAACUACGUG